RNAcentral lists this ribosomal RNA (119 nucleotides) under Pteropus vampyrus (large flying fox). Lineage: Eukaryota; Metazoa; Chordata; Mammalia; Chiroptera; Pteropodidae. The record is from RNAcentral.
GUCUACGGCCACGCCACCCUGAACAAGCCCAAUCUCGUCUGAUCGCAAAAGCUAAGCAGGGUCGGGCCUGGUUAGUCCUUGGAUGGGAGACCGCCUAGGAAGACCAGAUGCUGCAGGAG